Molecule: long non-coding RNA, 495 nt
Organism: Papilio xuthus (Asian swallowtail)
Lineage: Eukaryota; Metazoa; Arthropoda; Insecta; Lepidoptera; Papilionidae
Exons: 3
Source: RefSeq, a predicted model, not a curated record
GUAAUACUGUUUGUAUAAUUGUCGGCAAGUUUUCGUUUGUACCGGAUAAUCUCCGGAACGGACGGACCGAUUUUGUCGGGACUUUGACUAGGACGUAGCUAAUGUGUGCGGCAAUAUAACUCCGAGCCGCUGUUAUCUUUGAAUACAGUUAUACUUUUGUUUUGUUAGGCAACAUCGACAUCUAUAAAGAUAAGGAUAACAGAAUACGCGACAACUUACGAAGGGGUUUAUCAAGCUGUAUUUAUGCUCGGAAGUGAUGAAGUUACUAAGAGUAUUAUGGAGAUCAAGGAUCCAAACGUCAAGUCAAGUGGUGCUCUGACAACGGCAGGAUCAGCGGCGUCUGAAGUAACCACUGAUGCAGCAGCGGCAGCAGGAUCGACAGACGCAGUUGUAGCAACUAGUGAUCCUUCAGAUUGACAAUACUAUUGUUACGCUACAAAUUUUAAACUCGACAUUUAACUGAAUCUUUGAUUAUUUCUAGAUGACUGAAAAUAA